UGGGGAAUAUUGGACAAUGGGCGGAAGCCUGAUCCAGCAACGCCGCGUGAGGGAUGACGGCCUUCGGGUUGUAAACCUCUUUCAGUACCGACGAAGCGCCGAUGAUGGUGGUGACGGUAGGUACAGAAGAAGCACCGGCCAACUACGUGCCAGCAGCCGCGGUAAUACGUAGGGUGCGAGCGUUGUCCGGAAUUAUUGGGCGUAAAGGGCUCGUAGGCGGUUUGUCGCGUCGGGAGUGAAAACCCAGGGCUUAACUCUGGGCUUGCUUUCGAUACGGGCAGACUAGAGGUAUGCAGGGGAGAACGGAAUUCCUGGUGUAGCGGUGAAAUGCGCAGAUAUCAGGAGGAACACCGGUGGCGAAGGCGGUUCUCUGGGCAUUACCUGACGCUGAGGAGCGAAAGUGUGGGGAGCGAACA
This 416-nucleotide ribosomal RNA is filed under the name uncultured Nocardioides sp. RNAcentral's name for it is "bacterial SSU rRNA". It matches the Rfam family "Bacterial small subunit ribosomal RNA", at positions 355 to 774 of the family's 1533-position model. Lineage: Bacteria; Bacillati; Actinomycetota; Actinomycetes; Propionibacteriales; Nocardioidaceae. The record is from RNAcentral.